Molecule: transfer RNA, 86 nt
Filed under: Scleroderma citrinum Foug A
Lineage: Eukaryota; Fungi; Basidiomycota; Agaricomycetes; Boletales; Sclerodermataceae
Rfam family: tRNA
About the family: Transfer RNA (tRNA) molecules are approximately 80 nucleotides in length. Their secondary structure includes four short double-helical elements and three loops (D, anti-codon, and T loops).
Source: Rfam by way of RNAcentral
GGCUCUGUAGUGUAGUGGUUAUCACUCGGGAUUUUGACUUGGCUGCUCGUCUUCCCGAGACCCAGGUUCGAACCCUGGCAGGGCCU